ACGUCAGCAGCAUCAGGCUAGAGAGGAGCAGCAGCCAGAGAUCCGGCUAAGGCCUGAGGCAGCGGACCUUGGUGGAGAGGGAUUGCAAGGGUUCCGGCUAAGGCAGAUCUGCCUUCAUGAUGUCUCAGGGGCAGCAGGCCCUCUGUCCUGAGUGUGUGAGAGGCCUGGAUCCGGAAGGGCAUUGACCUUGCCCUGGACUCGUUCCUGGAGAAGAAAACAGGAUGGGGCUGGAUAGGGUCCAUCCUGGGACCCAAUGAUGCAUGCCAGGCUCACUGCUGUGCCGGGUGACCUCCCAGCCACACUCCCUCCAACCUCCUGCAUCCCGAAGAUGCUGCAGUCUAGGGCCUGGACUCUGGGAGAAUGGUUAGGAGCCUUGUCCUGCCCCCAGCAUGUGCCAGCAGACGCUGAGGAACUCCGGAUUGCAGUUUCUGACUCACUCUGUGGAGACCAUGAUUCUUCCUCGAGAUCAAUCUCCAAUCCAAUUUUGGAAACACAGCGGGACGAAUAGUAAGGAUCAAAAGACACUUGCUGAUGGAAGGUGGAGCAUGACUGGAGGAAGUGGAUCACUGGGCAUCAUGGGCCUCUAUUUCCUGUUUGCUCUCGGCUUGCUGAUGGCGGCCAGUGUGACCGGCUACCUCACGCUUCUGCUGCCUUGAUGGAGUGUAUUCCUCCUCCAACCUGGGGCCAAAUGUGUAUGUGGAGCUGACAGGUGCAAGUACCUGCAGAAGCCAGAAGAGGGUGUUGGAUCCCCUGGAACUGUGAGCUGCCUGAUGUGGGUGCUGGGACCAGACCUCAGGUCCUCUGGAAGAGAAGCCAAGAGCUCCUAAUAGCUCAGCCAUCUCUUCAUCACACCCCCUCCGCAACCUUGCAAGCUGUGGGUUUUUAAUGGAGGUGUUGACAGGAGAGAGAACACUUCCAGAGGGUGAGUCUCAAAUGCCUAUUGAGCACAACACUCCACAGCCCAGACUAAAAGUAGGGGCAACGUAGUAGGGGGUCAGGCUUUCUGUUGCCCCAUCCAAGGCAGAGCAGGGCUCACUACCUUAAGAGAGCAGCGUGGAUUGCAGAAGUAGGCACACCAUGGGUGCUCAGCAAAGAGUGCACCAGAAGCCUGUAGGGGACAUUUCAAGUUCAAAUCAGCACAAGGAGUAACAUUUGAUUUACCUGAGCACAAGCAAUGUUAGUGUGGUCAGAACCCCUGUGGGUGUGGUGGUGUGUGAACAUAGGUGUGUGUGCACAUGGAGACCCAAGAUUGAUGGUAGAAUCAUCCUCAAUAGCUCACUCAUUCAUUCACUCACAGAGAUAGGGUCUCUCAAUCAAACCCAGAGUUCAUGGAUAUAGGUAGUCUUGCUGGCCAACUUGCUCUGGCACUCCCGUCUCCACCUUCCAAGGCUACCACACCCACCCAGAAUUUUAUGUGGGUUCUGGGGAUUCGAACUCUGGUUCUCACACUUGCUUAGCAAUCGUUUUAACCAUUGAGCAAUCUUCCCAGCCCUUUACCAUUCUUUGAGAAGACAAUUUUGAAGAAUGAGCACCUACUCUGUACCACUGUCAUAAAAAAAAAAAAAAAAAAAAAAAAAAACAAUGUUGUCUGGGUCAUCAGUGCACAGUAUGGCUUUCUAUAUUUUUCGCAAAUAUGCAAAGGAAGAAGCCAAGACCCUGAGAAUUAAGGGGACAUGUCCAAGGUCACACAGCCAGAAAACGAGAGAACUUAGUUCUACUUAUUUUCUAGACCCAAUGUCUCCAACCCUCAAGCCCUGGGACCCUGCUGGGCAUGGAGGGAUCCCCAGGCAGAGGGUGGGGUGUGGGACUGUGCCUCUACCAUUAGACUCACUGAUAGGUGUUUCAUCCUCCCUUUGCUUUUAGGGGGUCCUUGUUCAGGGUUCAAAUCCUUCAGCUCUGCACUGGGUAACAGGGGAGAGAGGCCCUGCAUAGGCUGCCUCGGGGGACCUGGGUUCACGCCAGGCACCAGUAGCUUCCUGGGCAUCUCUCAGAGACUCCACAGCAGCGGACAGCCUGCUAAUUAGGACAUGCUCUUUAUGACUUUGUAUU
Molecule: non-coding RNA, 2049 nt
Organism: Peromyscus maniculatus bairdii (prairie deer mouse)
Lineage: Eukaryota; Metazoa; Chordata; Mammalia; Rodentia; Cricetidae
Source: RefSeq, a predicted model, not a curated record